GAGGACGACGCUGGCGGCGUGGAUUAGGCAUGCAAGUCGAACGGUAUCAUCCUUCGGGGGUGAGAGAGUGGCGAACUGGUGAGUAACACGUAGGUUAUCUACCCUCAAGACGGGGACAACCCAGGGAAACUUGGGCUAAUACCGGAUGUGAGCAACUUUUAGUUGUUUGAAAGGUGGCGUAAGCUGUCGCUUGGGGAUGAGCCUGCGUCCUAUUAGUUAGUUGGUGAGGUAACGGCUCACCUAGGCAAUGAUAGGUAGGCGGCCUUAACGGGUGGUCGCCCACACUGGGAUUGAGAUACGGCCCAGACUCCUACGGGAGGCAGCAGUCGAGAAUAGUCUACAAUGGUCGGAAGACUGAUAGUGCGACGCCGCGUGAACGAUGAAUCCCUUCGGGGUGUAAAGUUCUUUUAUAUGUGAGCAGUGCUUCUUAUAUUAACAGUAUGGGGAGAGAGAUAUUAGCAUAUGAAUAAGCAACGGCUAACUCCGUG
This 488-nucleotide ribosomal RNA is filed under the name uncultured bacterium. Its description in RNAcentral is "bacterial SSU rRNA". It matches the Rfam family "Bacterial small subunit ribosomal RNA", at positions 33 to 507 of the family's 1533-position model. The record is from RNAcentral.